This 1012-nucleotide long non-coding RNA is filed under the name Salvia miltiorrhiza (redroot sage). Its description in RNAcentral is "long non-coding RNA (SMIL_LNC002001)". The record is from RNAcentral. Lineage: Eukaryota; Viridiplantae; Streptophyta; Magnoliopsida; Lamiales; Lamiaceae.
GUUAAGGGAGAGGGUGAAGGAGAUUGCUAAAGCCGCCAUAAAAGCUACGAGCGAAGGUGGCUCUUCAUGGAAUGCGUUAAGCAACCUCAUCAGUGAGAUACAGAGGGAGAAGGAAAUCAACAGCUCCAAGCUCACCACAGUUGAUAUCUGCACGAAAUAAGCAUUAUAUUCAGAAUUAGAAAGUAGUACACUAACAUAUUGUCAAUAUUGUCAAGUAUGACACUUUGAAGAUUAAAACAGAGUAUUUCUUAGUCUCAUCAUCUUUUCUUUUAUCUUUUCGACAAACAUAUUACUAUUUACAACCAAAUCAAUCAGCUAUCCAACAAUUUCAGUAGAUAUAAUAGCAAACUAGUAACGAUAUUGAAAGAGCUUUUACCAAUAAUUUCUAUACUCUUUAAAGAGACAUCCUAAUUGAGCCUUUCAACAAUUUCUUUAAAGCUUACCAGACCCUCAGUAUCAAAAUUAUGUUAUGUUACAUCUUCAAUUCUCAGGAUAAGUCUAAACAAUAUUAUCAAAGUACAUAUCGGAAAUAUUCAAGUAGGACAUGGAACACACUUUGUGAUAGAAGAAUCUGACAAUUUCACUUCAAAUAUAAUGAUAUUUCGAUCUUUCACCAUCUUGACAACAGAGAAAAGACUUUUGAAAGAAAAAUUGCAUGUGAUUCCUUCAGUUAGGCAAAUAUAUGAGCAGAAAAAGGCAAUUUAAAUGAAUUACGCAGUAUUUCUAACAGGAAAACUACUAAUUAAAGGGGGAAAAAAAAGGGGUUAUCUGCAUAAAAUUAUAGAAGUAGACGAAGAAAUAACCAAACUAACGAAUUCACAAUUCAUCUGUUAUGCGAAGGCAGUAAUUAUAUCUAAACAAAAGAGAUAAAGCAAAUGACCUUAGUUGAGCUCGAAUCCUCAAACCUCAGGAUCAUUACUUAAUUUCGGAUCUUCGAUUGUUCAUCUUUCGCUUCUCCUCACUCCCUCCCAAAAUGAUCGCGUAUCUCAAGCCUUUUCAAAUUUAGAUUUAC